Molecule: ribosomal RNA, 734 nt
Filed under: Tiporus josepheni
Lineage: Eukaryota; Metazoa; Arthropoda; Insecta; Coleoptera; Dytiscidae
Description: partial 16S ribosomal RNA
Rfam family: Bacterial large subunit ribosomal RNA (bases 1-546)
Source: RNAcentral
UUUAAUGGCCGCAGUAAUUUGACUGUGCAAAGGUAGCAUAAUCAUUAGUUUUUUAAUUAAAAGCUUGAAUGAAUGGUUGGACGAAAUAAGGUCUGUCUCUUAAUAAUAUUUAGAAUUUAAUUUUUAAGUUAAAAAGCUUAAAUUUUUAUAAAAGACGAGAAGACCCCAUAGAUUUUUAUAAUUUUUUUUAUAUUUUUAAUUAAGAAUAUUUUAUUAAUUAUAAAUUAAGUUAUUAUAUUGGGGUAAUAGGAAGAUUAGUUAAAUUCUUUUUAUAAAUAUUUUCAAUGAUUUUUGUUUUUGUGAUCCUUUUUUAUAGAUUAAAAGAUUAAGUUACCUUGGGGAUAACAGCGUAAUUUUUUUAGAGAGUUCUUAUCGAAAAAAAAGUUUGCGACCUCGAUGUUGGAUUAAAAGUUUUUCUGGGUGUAGAAGUUCGGAGGUUUGGUCUGUUCGACCAUUAAAUUUUUACAUGAUCUGAGUUCAGACCGGCGUAAGCCAGGUUGGUUUCUAUCUUUAUUUAGAUAAUUUAUUUUAGUACGAAAGGACCAAAUAAUUUAUAUAUUAAUAUAUAUUUGUUGAAUAAAAUUGUUAUUUUGGCAGAUUAGUGUGAUGAAUUUAGAAUUCAUUUAUGUAAGUUUUUACAAAUAAUAUUGUUUUUUUAUGAUUUAUUGUUAGUUUUUAUUGGGGUUUUACUUUUAGUAGUUUGUGUUUUAUUGGGUGUUGCUUUUUUGACUUUA